GUACACACCGCCCGUCGCUCGUACCGACUGAAUAGAGGUAUGAAUUUGAUGGACCAGCGUGGCGCUAAGCCAUGCGAGAAAAUCAACUGAAUUUCUCUAUUUGUAGGAACGAGAAGUCGUAACAAGGUCUUCGUAGGUGAACCUGCAGAAGGAUCA
RNAcentral lists this ribosomal RNA (156 nucleotides) under uncultured eukaryote. RNAcentral's name for it is "partial small subunit ribosomal RNA". It matches the Rfam family "Eukaryotic small subunit ribosomal RNA", at positions 1662 to 1828 of the family's 1831-position model. The record is from RNAcentral.